GACGUAGGGCGCAAGCGUUGUCCGGAUUUAUUGGGCGUAAAGAGCUCGUAGGCGGCUUGUUGCGUCGUCCGUGAAAACCCGUAGCUCAACUGCGGGCUUGCGGACGAUACGGGCAGGCUGGAGUUCGGUAGGGGAGACUGGAAUUCCUGGUGUAGCGGUGAAAUGCGCAGAUAUCAGGAAGAACACCCGUGGCGAAGGCGGCUUUCUGGGACGGUACUGACGCUGAGACGCGAAAGCGUGGGGAGCGAACAGG
This 253-nucleotide ribosomal RNA is filed under the name uncultured bacterium. RNAcentral describes it as "partial 16S ribosomal RNA". It matches the Rfam family "Bacterial small subunit ribosomal RNA", at positions 524 to 776 of the family's 1533-position model. The record is from RNAcentral.